RNAcentral lists this ribosomal RNA (234 nucleotides) under uncultured Lactobacillus sp. Its description in RNAcentral is "partial 16S ribosomal RNA". It matches the Rfam family "Bacterial small subunit ribosomal RNA", at positions 129 to 355 of the family's 1533-position model. Lineage: Bacteria; Bacillati; Bacillota; Bacilli; Lactobacillales; Lactobacillaceae. The record is from RNAcentral.
CCCAAGAGAUCGGGAUAACACCUGGAAACAGANUGCUAAUACCGGAUAACAACAGAUGAUGCCUAUCAACUGUUUAAAAGAUGGUUCUGCUAUCACUCUUGGAUGGACCUGCGGUGCAUUAGCUAGUUGGUAGGGUAACGGCCUACCAAGGCGAUGAUGCAUAGCCGAGUUGAGAGACUGAUCGGCCACAUUGGGACUGAGACACGGCCCAAACUCCUACGGGAGGCAGCAGCU